UGAUUAAUAUAUAUCGUCGCAUCACCGACCAACUGACCAACUGUCCCUAACGCAAAUGGUAAAGAACUUGGUGGUUAGUAUCUGAGGUCCCGAGUUCGAAUUCUAGUUGAUUCAAUUUUCAGCUAAGUUUAUUUCUAAAUGAAACAAAUGAAAUGGGUACGUAGCAAGCUAAUAUAUAACAACUGAAGAGUCGCUACGGAUCGGCACUAAAUU
RNAcentral lists this long non-coding RNA (213 nucleotides) under Ananas comosus (pineapple). RNAcentral's name for it is "long non-coding RNA (ACOM_LNC032925)". The record is from RNAcentral. Lineage: Eukaryota; Viridiplantae; Streptophyta; Magnoliopsida; Poales; Bromeliaceae.